RNAcentral lists this ribosomal RNA (447 nucleotides) under Streptococcus agalactiae MRI Z1-217. RNAcentral describes it as "bacterial SSU rRNA". It matches the Rfam family "Bacterial small subunit ribosomal RNA", at positions 1 to 442 of the family's 1533-position model. Lineage: Bacteria; Bacillati; Bacillota; Bacilli; Lactobacillales; Streptococcaceae. The record is from RNAcentral.
AAUGAGAGUUUGAUCCUGGCUCAGGACGAACGCUGGCGGCGUGCCUAAUACAUGCAAGUAGAACGCUGAGGUUUGGUGUUUACACUAGACUGAUGAGUUGCGAACGGGUGAGUAACGCGUAGGUAACCUGCCUCAUAGCGGGGGAUAACUAUUGGAAACGAUAGCUAAUACCGCAUAAGAGUAAUUAACACAUGUUGUUAUUUAAAAGGAGCAAUUGCUUCACUGUGAGAUGGACCUGCGUUGUAUUAGCUAGUUGGUGAGGUAAAGGCUCACCAAGGCGACGAUACAUAGCCGACCUGAGAGGGUGAUCGGCCACACUGGGACUGAGACACGGCCCAGACUCCUACGGGAGGCAGCAGUAGGGAAUCUUCGGCAAUGGACGGAAGUCUGACCGAGCAACGCCGCGUGAGUGAAGAAGGUUUUCGGAUCGUAAAGCUCUGUUGUUAG